GGAUUCGCUAGUAAUCGCGCAUCAGCCACGGCGCGGUGAAUACGUUCCCGGGCCUUGUACACACCGCCCGUCAAGCCAUGGAAGCCGGGAGUGCCUGAAGUGCGUGAGCGCAAGCAGCGCCCUAAGGUAAAACCGGUGACUGGGGCUAAGUCGUAACAAGGUACC
RNAcentral lists this ribosomal RNA (165 nucleotides) under uncultured bacterium. RNAcentral's name for it is "partial 16S ribosomal RNA". It matches the Rfam family "Bacterial small subunit ribosomal RNA", at positions 1328 to 1500 of the family's 1533-position model. The record is from RNAcentral.